UACGGAGGGGGCUAGCGUUGUUCGGAAUUACUGGGCGUAAAGCGCACGUAGGCGGCUUUGUAAGUUAGAGGUGAAAGCCCGGGGCUCAACUCCGGAAUUGCCUUUAAGACUGCAUCGCUAGAAUUGUGGAGAGGUAAGUGGAAUUCCGAGUGUAGAGGUGAAAUUCGUAGAGAUCCGGAAGAACACCGGUGGCGAAGGCGGCCUGCUGGGCAGUGGCUGACACUGAGGCGCGACAGCGUGGGGAGCAAACAGG
Molecule: ribosomal RNA, 253 nt
Filed under: uncultured bacterium
Lineage: Bacteria
Description: partial 16S ribosomal RNA
Rfam family: Bacterial small subunit ribosomal RNA
Source: RNAcentral